GACGAACGCUGGCGGCGUGCUUAACACAUGCAAGUCGAACGGAAAGGCCCUGCUUUUGUGGGGUGCUCGAGUGGCGAACGGGUGAGUAACACGUGAGUAACCUGCCCUUGACUUUGGGAUAACUUCAGGAAACUGGGGCUAAUACCGGAUAGGAGCUCCUGCUGCAUGGUGGGGGUUGGAAAGUUUCGGCGGUUGGGGAUGGACUCGCGGCUUAUCAGCUUGUUGGUGGGGUAGUGGCUUACCAAGGCUUUGACGGGUAGCCGGCCUGAGAGGGUGACCGGCCACAUUGGGCCUGAGAUACGGACCAGACGCCUACGGGAGGCAGCAGUGGGGAAUAUUGCACAAUGGGCGGGAGCCUGGUGCAGCAACGCCGCGUGCGGGAUGACGGCCUUCGGGUUGUAAACCGCUUUCGCCUGUGACGAAGCGUGAGUGACGGUAAUGGGUAAAGAAGCACCGGCUAACUACGUG
RNAcentral lists this ribosomal RNA (468 nucleotides) under uncultured bacterium. RNAcentral's name for it is "partial 16S ribosomal RNA". It matches the Rfam family "Bacterial small subunit ribosomal RNA", at positions 28 to 507 of the family's 1533-position model. The record is from RNAcentral.